RNAcentral lists this long non-coding RNA (631 nucleotides) under Olea europaea (common olive). RNAcentral describes it as "long non-coding RNA (OEUR_LNC012149)". The record is from RNAcentral. Lineage: Eukaryota; Viridiplantae; Streptophyta; Magnoliopsida; Lamiales; Oleaceae.
ACCCCAUCUCCUUCUUCCCCAACCCCCUCACAGUUGGAGCAUAAUUUCGAUGACUUCCGACCACCUAGACCACCGAAUAUUGGUACCAUCGGAAAGCCCUUGACCUCCUCUUCAAUUAACACCGAUCAUCUCAAAAUGUGAGGGGGUUGGGGAAGAAGGAGAAGAAGAAAUAGCCGGAGUUGACCCAGUUCGUACCUGUGGACGAAGCGAUAUUAAAUCCGGGUCAAGAUCCUACCUUGCUUGAUCCGGUGGCGUCAAAGAACAAACAACAGAACCCUUUUCCUUGUUUUCUUUCUGCUCGAUCGAUUGCUUCAAAAGAAUCGAAAUGUGCUUUGGAGUCGGCCGGCUCAAAACAAGCAUAUGGCCAUGAAUUCGCGAGUUUUUGCUUGGAUUCGCAAAAGAAGUACCCAAAGAAGAGAACGAUUUAGCUGAAGAAUUGUUGUUACUUGUUUGAUUAUUGUUAUUAUUAAGCUUUUUAUCGUAUAUGUCAUUGAAGUUGAGGGAGGUGUAUUUAUUGCUUCUUGCCAUCCACCUGUUUCACCGCCGAGAGCCACCGUUACGAGGAGAGUUUUUUUCUUUUUUCUGGGUUGGUUUAAAGUUUUGACUUUUUUGAUAUGUUUGAAACAUUUCC